Molecule: ribosomal RNA, 482 nt
Filed under: uncultured bacterium
Lineage: Bacteria
Description: bacterial SSU rRNA
Rfam family: Bacterial small subunit ribosomal RNA
Source: RNAcentral
GGGCGAAAGCCUGAUCCAGCAAUGCCGCGUGUGGGAAGAAGGCCUUCGGGUUGUAAACCACUUUUGUACGGAACGAAAAGGUCUGCCNUAAUACGGUGGGCCCAUGACGGUACCGUAAGAAUAAGCACCGGCUAACUACGUGCCAGCAGCCGCGGUAAUACGUAGGGUGCGAGCGUUAAUCGGAAUUACUGGGCGUAAAGCGUGCGCAGGCGGUUAUAUAAGACAGUUGUGAAAUCCCCGGGCUCAACCUGGGAAUUGCAUCUGUGACUGUAUAGCUAGAGUACGGUAGAGGGGGAUGGAAUUCCGCGUGUAGCAGUGAAAUGCGUAGAUAUGCGGAGGAACACCGAUGGCGAAGGCAAUCCCCUGGACCUGUACUGACGCUCAUGCACGAAAGCGUGGGGAGCAAACAGGAUUAGAUACCCUGGUAGUCCACGCCCUAAACGAUGUCAACUGGUUGUUGGGUGCAUUAGUACUCAGUAACG